Cyprinus carpio (common carp) is the source of this 1972-nucleotide long non-coding RNA. RefSeq lists it as uncharacterized. The transcript has 3 exons. Lineage: Eukaryota; Metazoa; Chordata; Actinopteri; Cypriniformes; Cyprinidae. The record is from RefSeq and is a predicted model, not a curated record.
CCAGGAGAAUCAGGAGUGAAACUGCUGACUGAAAGACUCAGUGAUCCAAACUGCACAUUGGAAAAACUCAGUGUGGACCAUAAUGAAGUCUUCAGAAUCACACCAGGACUACAAAAAUAUUUUUGUGAUCUCACACUGGAUCCAAACACAGCACACACUAGCCUCUUAAUGUCUGAAAACAGAACGGUGACACAUGUGAAAGACGAGCAAUCAUAUCCUGAUCAUCCAGAGAGGUUUGAGCACUAUGAGCAGGUUAUGUGUAAAGAAAGUCUGACUGGACGCUGUUACUGGGAGACUGAAUUCAAUGGCAAUGGUCAUGUAGCAGUUACAUACAAAAAAGUCAGUAGAAAAGAAGGGAUUGAUUGUCUGUUUGGUCUCAAUGAACAUUCCUGGUGUCUAUUCUGGGUUAACAGAGGUAAUGUUUGUACUGCCUGGCAUGAUAAUAAGAACACUGAUGUACCUGUCCCAUCUCUGUCUAAAAGAGUAGGAGUGUAUCUGGAUUGGCCAGCUGGCACUCUGUCCUUCUGCAGCAUCUCUAACACACUCACUACCACACACUUAUACACAUUCAACACCACAUUCACUGAACCACUGUAUGCUGGAUUCAGGCUUUAUCCUAGAGCCUCAGUAUCUCUGUGUCAAAUUGAAAAAUCUUAGGUAAGGAAUAACACAGAAAACAAUUCACUCUAGACAGUGGUAUAAUAGAUUUGGAUGUUUUUACUAAGACUUUUUGCCUUUAUUGUAGAGUGUAUAGUGGAGAAGUUACAGGAAAUAAAAGGGAAUGGAGAAAGGUUUUUCUCCAUUUCUGCUUAAAGUCAUGAAGGCAGAUUUGAAGUAUUUCAGAUUUUAUAAUGUGCAUCAUAAACCAAUUUUUAUGUCAUUUUUAUAGUUAUAAGUUUUAGAGUGAUGAAGGUAUUUUAUUUAAAAUUUUAGUUUUAACACUAGACUCAUGCAGACAAAUUCUAAAGAAAAAACAAAGCUAUAUCAACAUGUUCUUUAUGCAUGGAUUAUUGAUGUAGCAUUUUCACUAUGUCCGAAUUUCACUAUGUUCAACUACUCUUGGUUUCUAUUGCUCUCUUUGAGAAACUAUGUUGCACUUCCCAAGGGAAUGAAUGGGAGAGGCUGUGAAAAGUGUUUUUUGGUUAAUUUAUGUUAUUAAUGGAAUGGGAAUAAUACAAUAUUUUUUUAAUGCUUUGAACUCUUUUUUUACUAUAACAUUUACUAAGACCUGAAUCAAUACGUAUAAUUUUUUUUGUUUAAUCUCUGGGACUGAUGUGAGUGCGACAUGAGCAAGGCAUGUGCAGUAUGGUUGCAUUUCACAUUGCCUGCUUCGCUUCUUAUCUCUGUAAUGUUUUCAAAAUGUAAUGUUUUGUAAUGUGUUCAUGUUUCAAAAACAACAGCAGGCAGACACAUCUAAUUAUGUUACAUGUUUAUCAGAACACUUGGUCGUAAUUGGUUAAUGUUGUACAGCUUAUUCAUAAGCAGGCAUAGGUCCUGCAGUUUAAAGAUUCUCUUUUGUGUUUGCUUGCACAGACCUAUAAUUUAAAAUGUACUGUGGGGUAAUUUUUAAUGAUUUUAAUUUGCUUUUGGUUUUUUUUAAUCUAAUCACCUGAUUAUAUUAACUUUCUACCGCAUAUACAGCUGUUCAGUGUAAACUGUGUGGCAAAAAUAGGCUCAACUGUUCGCUCAGUGCCACAUCUGGAAUGCUUCUAGGAAUGUGCAAAAUUAAAUUUCCUGUAUAAUUUCCUUAAUAAAGCCAAAAAGCCUUUCCCAAGAUUUUUCAAGUUAUCAGACAGGAAAUUAUUUGUUUCUAUGGCAACUGUCAUAAGGCUAAAACAGCUUUGUUGUUGGUAAUCAUUAAAUUAAUCCACUUAUGUAAUACUCUUACAAAAUGUUUAAGAACAAAAAAUAUUGUUUGGAUAUGUUGUUUCUUUUUACAUGAUCAACAUCAAGCAAGGCACAGGCAGAACAC